RNAcentral lists this ribosomal RNA (251 nucleotides) under uncultured bacterium. Its description in RNAcentral is "partial 16S ribosomal RNA". It matches the Rfam family "Bacterial small subunit ribosomal RNA", at positions 57 to 305 of the family's 1533-position model. The record is from RNAcentral.
GCAAGUCGAGGGGUAACAGUUCUGUUUACAGAAGCUGACGACCGGCGCACGGGUGCGUAACGCGUAUUCAAUCUUCCUUAUACAGAAGACUAGCCGCGAGAAAUUGAGAUUAAUGCUUAAUGGUAUUAUGUUGUGGAAUCACAAUAUAAUUAAAACUCCGGUGGUAUAAGAUGGGCAUGCGUAUGAUUAGCUAGAUGGUGAGGUAACGGCUCACCAUGGCGACGAUCAUUAGGGGUCCUGAGAGGGUGAUC